AACAUAUGUAUGUUACAUGCUUGUGUAACAGUGACUCUUCCUAGUCUACUAAGAAUGGGUUACAAAUGCCUCAGGAUAGCUAUGCCCAGCCUGGCUGGAGGCUCUCAAGGGCUGCACCCAAGUAUCCUCCUGCAGUGAGCAGCUGACUCAAGUCACCACAGUGUGCUUGCUGUAUAAAUGUUAUUUUUCGUGAGUGUUGACAGGAAAAAGGUUAGGAUGAACCACUGUGUUCAGUACAUAACGCUACAGUUGCAGUCUUGUCACUGAUUCUUGUAAAUACCGAAUUUUUAAAAAAUCUCUUACUUUUUUUGAACAAAGUAGAGUAUAAACUAUAGGGUUUAUUUCUUCUUCAAUACUAGUACUAUUGAAAACACAACUGCUAACAUAAAAGGAUCGUUUUCUAAUUUUAGACACUUCUUACUCGGGAGAAGUUAUCUUGAUUACCCAGCUUUUUUCCUUAUAGUUUCUUGCAGAACAUAAAUUAUUAGGAAACAUUAAAAAUGUGGCCAAGACAGCUAACAAGGACCACUUGGUUACAGCCUAUAACCAUCUUUUUGAAACUAAGCGUUUUAAGGGUACUGAAAGUAUAAGUAAAGUGUCUGAGCAAGUAAAAAAUGUGAAGCUUAAUGAAGAUAAACCCAAAGAAACCAAGUCUGAAGAGACCCUGGAUGAGGGUCCACCAAAAUAUACUAAAUCUGUUUUGAAA
RNAcentral lists this small RNA (706 nucleotides) under Pongo abelii (Sumatran orangutan). Its description in RNAcentral is "retained intron". The record is from RNAcentral. Lineage: Eukaryota; Metazoa; Chordata; Mammalia; Primates; Hominidae.